This 400-nucleotide ribosomal RNA is filed under the name uncultured Glomeromycotina. RNAcentral's name for it is "SSU rRNA". It matches the Rfam family "Eukaryotic small subunit ribosomal RNA", at positions 569 to 973 of the family's 1831-position model. Lineage: Eukaryota; Fungi; Glomeromycota. The record is from RNAcentral.
AGCAGCCGCGGUAAAUUCCAGCUCCAAUAGCGUAUAUUAAAGUUGUUGCAGUUAAAAAGCUCGUAGUUGAAUUUUAGGCCUGGCCGGAUGGUCCGUCUUUGGCGAGUACUGUUCUGUCGUCGGGUCUAUCCUUCUGGUGAGCCGGGAUGCCCUUUAUUGGGUGUGUCGGGGAACCAGGACCAUUACCUUGAAAAAAUUAGAGUGUUUAAAGCGGGCAUUUGCUUGAAUAGAUUAGCAUGGAAUAAUAGAAUAGGACGUUGGUUCUAUUUUGUUGGUUUUAGGACCACCGUAAUGAUUAAUAGGGAUAGUUGGGGGCAUUAGUAUUCAAUUGUCAGAGGUGAAAUUCUUGGAUUUAUUGAAGACUAACUAUUGCGAAAGCAUUUGCCAAGGAUGUUUUCAU